UAGGGAAUCUUCCACAAUGGACGCAAGUCUGAUGGAGCAACGCCGCGUGAGUGAAGAAGGUUUUCGGACCGUAAAGCUCUGUUGUUGGUGAAGAAGGAUAGAGGUAGUAACUGGCCUUUAUUUGACGGUAAUCAACCAGAAAGUCACGGCUAACUACGUGCCAGCAGCCGCGGUAAUACGUAGGUGGCAAGCGUUGUCCGGAUUUAUUGGGCGUAAAGCGAGCGCAGGCGGAAGAAUAAGUCUGAUGUGAAAGCCCUCGGCUUAACCGAGGAAUUGCAUCGGAAACUGUUUUUCUUGAGUGCAGAAAG
RNAcentral lists this ribosomal RNA (308 nucleotides) under uncultured bacterium. RNAcentral describes it as "partial 16S ribosomal RNA". It matches the Rfam family "Bacterial small subunit ribosomal RNA", at positions 355 to 655 of the family's 1533-position model. The record is from RNAcentral.